RNAcentral lists this long non-coding RNA (2194 nucleotides) under Homo sapiens (human). RNAcentral's name for it is "T cell leukemia/lymphoma 6". The stretch from base 1727 to 1863 matches the Rfam family "T-cell leukemia/lymphoma 6 conserved region 3". Lineage: Eukaryota; Metazoa; Chordata; Mammalia; Primates; Hominidae. The record is from RNAcentral.
GUCAACAGCCACUUCCUCCCUGGGGCUUAACAGGCAUUCCUUGAAGCCUGCCCCGGGCAGUUAGUCCUUCCCUUUUGUGUGAACUCUCGGCUGUUUUCGUUGUCUGCACACAGAGCAGUGGUCUAGGGAGCGAAGGGUUUUGGAAUGGACCUUUUCCUUUCUUAGCUUGCUGUAGGGAUUGUGCUUCAGCUAAGUAAAGUGGAAAAACAGAAGUACAAAAGCAACAGCCCCAGAUCUAAGGGCACCGUAGCUCUGGAAUCUGGAUUUUAUUCCAGAUUCAACCCUCAGCAGGGAGUUGAAGUGGUCAGCCCUGUGCUUUACAAGGCUGAUUGGGCAGCACCCAUAGUAGAAUUGUCAAUAUAAAGUAAUUGAAAGGAUCAGAAUCCAGGGUUUUCGUUGUUUUUAAGUUUUUAAGUUUUAAAAACAAAGUUGUUUUUGUUCGUUUUUAAGUUUACUUCUCUUUAAUCGGUCUCACUUUAUUGACCAGGCUGGUUUCGAACUCCUGGGCUUAAGUGAUUUCUCCUGUCUCAGCUUCUCAAAGUGCUGGGAUUACAGGCGUGAGCCGCUGCACCCAGCCCAGAAUCCAGUUUUAAAGAGUUUAUUCAAGCCAAAAGCUGGGAAUGGCCAUCUGAGAAACACAGACUCUAGGAAAAUGGGGCCAGGGCCCUGAAGUUAAAAGUUAAAGUCUUGCUUACAUAGGCAGAAAGCAAAGACAUUUAGUAACCUUGUAGAACAUUUUCUUGUAUAACUUUUCUUGUUUUAACUUUCUUGUUUAACAUUUUCUAUGCAAGGCUGGUUUAUGAGUUACAACCUAUAAUUAAUUAUAGGUUGUUCCCCUGCCUCCACCUUGUUUUCUUUUCUCUACAGCUUGUUUUCAUUUCCUUUCCAAUUUAAGAAUGUGUUUAACAUUCUAUCCCAGACAAUGUGAUGGUCAUGAAGUCUCUGUCAGAGAGGAAAGAGGGAGUUAAUCUAUAAUGAAGAUCAACAGUGAAGAGGAAAGGGGUCUUCCCUGGAACGCUUCAGUCAUAUACGACAUUUUACACAACAAUAAUGGACCUGUGUAAGGAGGUAUGUGUGGGAGAAGAUUCCAGAAGGUCUUGAGACACUCCAGAUGAAGGUUGGUGUGGGGCUGUGCUGCUGGAGCACCAGAGAGUGAAAAGAGGUUAUCUCCCUCUGUGCCAGGCCAGAGUGCAGUGGUGCAAUCACGGCUCACUGUAGUCUCAACCUCCUGGGCUCAAGAGAUCCUCCCACUUCAGCCUCCCAAGCAGCUAAGACUACAGACAUGUCCUUAACCUUGGCACAACAAAUCUCUAAAUCGAUUGAGACCUGUCUCAGAUACUUCUUGGUUUACAAGAUGGAGGCUGAAAUUAAAGAGAAAGAUCCUCACUCAACUCACAGAGGAGCAGAAUGGGAAGAGGACUUAGUGAGAAUUCCCUGAACACAGGAGAAAACCGAAGCCCAGAGAGUGGAUGGCCAAGUCCAAGGUCACACAGCCAAGUGCAUCCGAGCAGCGCAGGAUCCAGGUUUCCUGCCCCAGUGCUCUUUCUGCAGCCCAUGCCACCUGUUUUCAUGCUAUCUCAGUUCACCUUCCAGCUACACACCUGCAAUCAGAAACAGAAAGUCUGAGAGUGUGUGUGGAGCCAAAGAGGGGACAGCAGUGGUUAGAAGCAAGGCACAAGUCAUACCUACAUUCAAGGAGAGGGGACCAUGCAAAGGAUAAACUGCAGAGAGACAACAGAUUUACAUCCCAGACACAUUCACACUGGGCCAAGAGCAGCUGCCAUUGCAGAUUCGAGUCACGUCCUUUUUUCCUUCCUUCUCCUUCUUGGAGUUACAACAGAAGCUGGGGAGGUGAGAGUGCAGAAAGGACGUGGAUGAAGCAGAGAGGCACGUGCCUGUCUCAUUCGCCUCUGGAUCUGCUGCAUCCAGGACUGUGCCAGCACAAAGUGGGAGCCCGAUAAAUAUUUAUUGAAGAAAUGAAAGGUGACAAAAGGCAGAAGGAGGGAGACCCCAAAAAGAGCAGCACAGGAAGCUGCCCCCUCAAACACUAAAGGCUCCUGGAGCUAUUCACAGUGCUGGGGAACAACCAGAGGAGGAGGAGGACAGAGGGAGAGAAUACUUUUUUUAAAAAUCCCAAACAAAACCAAAUUCUAUACAUGUAUAUCUCGAGUGAGUAAAUGUGUAACACUCAGCA